CAGCACUGCGCAUGGGCCAGCUGCACACGGGUCAGGGAGGCCCGGGGUUUGAACCGCGGACCUCCCAUGUGGUAGACGGAUGCCCUAUCCACUGAGCCAAGUCCGCUUCCCUCAACAAGGCUUUGUGACUUGUUGCUAGCAAGUUAAAGAACAUCUCCUGGCAGAUGAAGGGAAAGCUAAGCCCAAGUCCCAACAGCUGAGAGCUUGGAAACCCUGGGGUGAGAAUCUCCUUUCCUCCUGAAAUCAUGACUUUUCCUCUUUUCCAGGCUCCAUUGAUGAUGUCCUUGGUGACCUCUUGGGGGAUGACAUGGCACCACCCGCGAAGCCUGUUAAAUUGGCUUCACAUGCCCAAGACACCACAGGUGCAGCUCAGCUGCUCCCUUCUUCAAGGACUAGAACAAAGUAAGCACAGGACUGGCUUGGGUGUCCACUACCUCUUUCAUUCCAAAUGUCCCCUUUUCCUCAACCUCCCUACUUCUCAUAUAGUGGGUACUCCUUUUUUUUUUUUUUUAAUUAACUUUUAAUUUUGAAUUGCCUUAGGACUUAACAGGACAGUUACAAAAAUAAUAAACACCCCAUGCAGAGAACUCCAACACAUCCCAUCCUACAUCCACCA
Molecule: long non-coding RNA, 616 nt
Filed under: Dasypus novemcinctus (nine-banded armadillo)
Lineage: Eukaryota; Metazoa; Chordata; Mammalia; Cingulata; Dasypodidae
Description: lncRNA (ENSDNOG00000052785.1)
Source: RNAcentral